UGACCUCUUCUACUCAGCAGGGCACUGGAAGAACCAACAAAUAAAGCAAAAAAACAUGAUUAGAGUGAAGGGAUGGAAUAAAACUGUAUUACUCACAGAUUACAAAACCGUGCAUGGAAAACCCCAAUUAAUAUAAAGAUCUAUUAUUCUAAUUUAAAAAGAAUGGAUCCUGUGUCACUAGAUACAUCAUCAAUACAUAUAAAUCAGCUGCACUUCAGACUCCCAGUUUGGACCAAGACAUCGUCCAAAGGGACCCUCAGCAUCUUGACAUCGGGCAGGACAUCACAUUUGUCCACAAUGUUGGCGACAUCUUGUUAAUUUGACCUGGUUUUGCUUUAUGUACUUCGAAGCUCUGCUGUUUUGUGUAUACACACUUAGGAUUACUAUGUCUUCC
Long non-coding RNA from Diceros bicornis minor, 394 nucleotides. RefSeq lists it as uncharacterized. Lineage: Eukaryota; Metazoa; Chordata; Mammalia; Perissodactyla; Rhinocerotidae. The transcript has 3 exons. The record is from RefSeq and is a predicted model, not a curated record.